UUCACAAGAAAGUGUCAUUCAUG
RNAcentral lists this microRNA (23 nucleotides) under Cavia porcellus (domestic guinea pig). The record is from RNAcentral. Lineage: Eukaryota; Metazoa; Chordata; Mammalia; Rodentia; Caviidae.